UACAGAGGGGGCAAGCGUUAUUCGGAAUUAUUGGGCGUAAAGGGCGCGUAGGCGGCUUUGCAAGUGGCGGGUGAAAUCCCUCGGCUUAACCGAGGAACUGCCUGUCAAACUGCAUGGCUUGAGACCAGGAGAGGUGAGUGGAAUUCCCAGUGUAGCGGUGAAAUGCGUAGAUAUUGGGAGGAACACCAGUGGCGAAGGCGGCUCACUGGACUGGUACUGACGUUGAGGCGCGAAAGCGUGGGGAGUAAACAGG
RNAcentral lists this ribosomal RNA (253 nucleotides) under uncultured bacterium. RNAcentral describes it as "partial 16S ribosomal RNA". It matches the Rfam family "Bacterial small subunit ribosomal RNA", at positions 524 to 776 of the family's 1533-position model. The record is from RNAcentral.